RNAcentral lists this ribosomal RNA (452 nucleotides) under Nototriton limnospectator. RNAcentral's name for it is "partial 12S ribosomal RNA". It matches the Rfam family "Bacterial small subunit ribosomal RNA", at positions 875 to 1522 of the family's 1533-position model. The record is from RNAcentral. Lineage: Eukaryota; Metazoa; Chordata; Amphibia; Caudata; Plethodontidae.
GAGUACUACGAGCCACAGCUUAAAACUCAAAGGACUUGGCGGUGUCCUACACCCGCCUAGAGGAGCCUGUUCUAUAAUUGAUACUCCCCAAUAAACCUCACCACCCUUUGCCCAACAGCCUAUAUACCACCGUCACAAGCUCACCCUUUAAGGGAAUAAUAGUAAGCUAAAUAAUUUAAAAUUAAAAAGUCAGGUCAAGGUGUAGCACAUAGGGCGGAAAGAAAUGGGCUACAUUUUCUCCAUAGAAAAUACGAAAUGAUAACUGAAAUAAAACAUGAAGGAGGAUUUAGUAGUAAAGAGAAACAAGAGUGUUCCCUUUAAAUUGGCAAUAGGACAAGCACACACCGCCCGUCACCCUCUCCAAAUACCUUUAAAAACUUAAAUAAAGCAAUAUAUAUAUAAGAAGAGGAAAGUCGUAACAUGGUAAGUCUACCGGAAGGUGGCCUUGGAAU